This 229-nucleotide ribosomal RNA is filed under the name uncultured bacterium. Its description in RNAcentral is "partial 16S ribosomal RNA". It matches the Rfam family "Bacterial small subunit ribosomal RNA", at positions 568 to 796 of the family's 1533-position model. The record is from RNAcentral.
CGUGUAGGCGGCCUUGUAAGCCUGGUGUUAAAUUUCCUGACUUAACCAGGAGCGAGCGCUGGGAACUGCAAGGCUAGAGUUCAGGAGGGGAAGCUGGAAUUCCAGGUGUAGGGGUGAAAUCUGUAGAUAUCUGGAAGAACACCGGUGGCGAAGGCGAGCUUCUAGCCAUGGACUGACGCUGAGGCGCGAAAGCGUGGGGAGCGAACAGGAUUAGAUACCCUGGUAGUCC